GCUUACGGCCACACCGCCUGGUUCCACGCCCCGAUCUCGUUUGAUCUCGGAAGCUAAGGUAGGUUGGGCCUGGUUAGUACUUGGAUGGGAGACCGCCUGGGAAUACCAGGUGCUGUAAGCU
Ribosomal RNA from Scophthalmus maximus (turbot), 121 nucleotides. The record is from Ensembl. Lineage: Eukaryota; Metazoa; Chordata; Actinopteri; Pleuronectiformes; Scophthalmidae.